CUACGGGCGGCAGCAGUGGGGAAUAUUGGACAAUGGGGGAAACCCUGAUCCAGCAAUGCCGCGUGUGUGAAGAAGGCCUGCGGGUUGUAAAGCACUUUCGGUUGGGAGGACUGCUUCUAGCACUAAUAUUGUUGGAAGUUGACGUUACCUUCAGAAGAAGCACCGGCUAACUCCGUGCCAGCAGCCGCGGUAAUACGGAGGGGUGCAAGCGUUAAUCGGAAUUACUGGGCGUAAAGCGCGCGUAGGCGGCUAGAUCAGUCGGGUGUGAAAGCCCCGGGCUUAACCUGGGAACUGCAUCCGAUACUGUCUAGCUUGAGUACAGGAGAGGAGAGUGGAAUUCCACAUGUAGCGGUGAAAUGCGUAGAUAUGUGGAGGAACACCAAUGGCGAAGGCAGCUCUCUGGCCUGAUACUGACGCUGAGGUGCGAAAGCGUGGGGAGCAAACAGGAUUAGAUACCCCUGUAGUC
RNAcentral lists this ribosomal RNA (466 nucleotides) under uncultured bacterium. RNAcentral's name for it is "partial 16S ribosomal RNA". It matches the Rfam family "Bacterial small subunit ribosomal RNA", at positions 339 to 795 of the family's 1533-position model. The record is from RNAcentral.